UAAUAGAGUAUUUUAUGGCACUCUAAAAAAAAUCCAUAUCCACCUUGUGUGAAAUGUUAAUUCUUUAUCGAUCCUUGAAACAUUAGGUUUCGGUAGAGGGUUUUAUAUCAACUCUCUUUAAGCUUUAAAAAUUUUUAGUCAGAAAAACGUUAUGAAUUUGUACUUAAUUCAAAACA
RNAcentral lists this unclassified non-coding RNA (176 nucleotides) under uncultured Mucoromycotina. Its description in RNAcentral is "sequence contains ITS1". Lineage: Eukaryota; Fungi. The record is from RNAcentral.